RNAcentral lists this ribosomal RNA (113 nucleotides) under Streptococcus pneumoniae GA18523. The record is from RNAcentral. Lineage: Bacteria; Bacillati; Bacillota; Bacilli; Lactobacillales; Streptococcaceae.
GUGACGAUAGCCUAGGAGAUACACCUGUACCCACUGCCGAACACAGAAGUUAAGCCCUAGAACGCCGGAAGUAGUUGGGGGUUGCCCCCUGUGAGAUAGGGAAGUCGCUUAGC